CCCCCCUUGAUGACGUCACUCAGGCGCCUGCAGCAAUGGAAGGUCCCGCGCCGGGCCGGGCAGGUGUGCGAUUUGGAACUGGAGGGAACCGCUCUGUCCGAGCCCGGCCGGGUACCCGGAGGGGAAGGACGGACUACGCUUCCCGACGCCCCGUGCGGCGGACGACCCCGGGCGAGUCCUCCCGCCGUGGCGCGGCCUUCGCGACAGCGGCCGCUCCUUCCUGCGGGACCGUCGUUCUUCCCGGCAGCUGGCCGCGCUUGCGGCGGUCGGUCGGUCGGUCUCUCUGCCAGGCCCUCCCUGCGGCCCGAAGCCCUGGCUGGGGCGCAGCCGGUGACCCCAGUCACGGACGGUAGCAGGCCGCUCCCAGAUCUCAAGUGUAUACCCCUUGAGAGGGAAAAAACAAAACUCCUCCCCCUGGCCGCAUUCCUGGGUAGAUUCGGGCCCUGAUCCUCGGCUUGGACCGAAGGUCUUCUCCUUAUCCCCCGGCAGCAGAAUUCUCUUCUUAACGAUCCCAGCUCGUUGCCGUAUCACUGCCUGGCUCAGAAACUUCCCGCGGCUUCCCAAUGUCCAAAUUCUUAGCAUUCGAUACGAGCAUUGUAUGUGCUACCUAGACACCCAGACUUCACCGGCUUUUUCCAAAAUGUUCAGUACGGACACUGCGACGGGAAACGGCCCUCCCCAGAGAGCAGUCUGGUUCCUCUACAAAUACCGCACCCCUGCCCGUUCUUACACAAUCCGUGGCUGCCACUUGCUGUGGAGCAAGGGACCAGGGCUCCGGACCUGACAGCGAGAUUUCCUGUCGUUGACACCUAAGGCGGUCCAGUACCUGACGGAUCCAUUUACCCCUGAGCGGAAAACAAGACCAGGGUUUACGGGGAAAGGAGAUGAGCAGCAGCGCAGCGGGAAGCAGAUGUACCUCGGAAGACCGUCGUGUGACCCAUUAGAGAAAGGGGAGAGCAGACCAUGUCUGCGUCCUGGUGACUUUCCAUCUCUGGCUCUGAUCCAGACAAACGUGUCUUAACACGCACCUGCUGUUGCUGGAACUCAGAACUCUCACUGCUGCCUUUCUGCCUUUGUCUUUCGGCCUGUUUCUUCCCCUUGCCUGGAACACCUUCCUGCCAGGUCUACUGGUUGUCAUCUACCAGCCACACCUGUCUCAUUGUUGUCAUGGAAAAAAGCCAGCAAACGUCUACACUACAGAAAGUGGCGAACAGUGAAUUUGGAACCACAUGCCUGCCUUUAAAUUGUCAAGUGAGUGGCCUAUUUGAGCCGGUGUUUUCUUAUAAAGGAUUACCUGUCAUUUAGGGGAAAAGCAACCAGGGCAGAUCCAAAUCCAUAGGAUCUAUGAAGCAGAGAGUACUUAGUAACACGUUAUCGAUGGUAUCCAUUUCGGAAAACGAAUACGUCUAGCUUACUUGUAGAAACCUAAUUUGUGGUCUCGGGUUUGGUUUUGUUUUUUUUUUUUAAUCAUUUUUUCAUACCAAAUUUACAAGAAAAACAUUGCAUUUUUCUGUCCGAGCCUCCUCAGGCCUGGAGGGAUGUCUAGAUUCUGGCUUCUGAUGUGGGGGCUCCCUUGUACAUGUGGAGCCCAGUCGGUUGUUUAGAGGAACUGACUCAAAGGCUCAGUUCUUGCCUCACGGCCUCCCGGAUACUCAGUAACAUCUCCAAACUAAAGCUUUAGAACGUAACAUAAUUUGGAGGUUAGUUACACUGAUGACUUAAUUUAUUAAUGUCGUCUUCCCCUGAAAUGGUUAAUAGAUUUGUUCUAGAAGCCAAGGAGAUAGAUAUGAACUCAAAACGGAAAGAUACUUGUUCUUUGCAAGUUCCUAUGUUUUGCUUUACGAAGAGCUAUUCCUUUAUCUGAUGCGCUUCUGCAUAAUAAAAAUAAACCACAUUAUGUCUUUUAAAAUCCCUGGCUACGUUUCAUGGAGUGGUUUCCAGCUCUGACAGUUUAUAAUUCAGACAGCAUCUGAAGAAGUUAAUUUCUGGACCUGUGAUGUCAUGCUAACAAAUGGCCACCAGAUGUCAGUCUUUCCUUGUGUUUUUAGACACAAAUGGGCUUUGGAACCAUAUUUACGGUUCUAUUUGUGUGGCAUCCUCAGUGGAAGGCACUUUUCAGGGAGCAUCUGCCCUCUCACAGUCCAUCACGCAUGGUCCUGAGCUCCCUUUGCUCUGGUGUCACUGUCCUGGGUUACGGCAGUGACUUGUCCCCACGGGCCACUACUCGGCCCUGGGCCCUCGCUUAGAGCCCAGCUCCCACCCUCGAAGUGAUGCAGAGUUGGGGGGAAACGCGGCCGCUUCCUGGAAGAUGGAGCUCGCUCAGAAAGCCGAAGAAUCCAUUUUUCAAGACAAGCAUCAUUGGGAGGAGAAUGCAGAACCCAUGUGAGUGUUAAUGAUGAAGCAUGACUUUAAAGGACUUUCACGGUUGUAUAAUCCUUUCCACGGGAGUUCAGGCUCACUCCCCUCGUGGGGUGUUCUGUGAACACCAGGCAGCAGUAAACCGCUUGUCCCGAGUCGCUUCUGGGGAUUUGCAGAGGGAGGUUGGGGUCUCGGGGGCAAGGGAGAGAGGCUUCCCUCAGGGAGGGCUGGUGGGCGGGGUGCGACCCACCCACCCCAAAGGAGAGGGAGGGAAGGAGGGAGGGGGCUGUGGGAUGGCCCACCCCAAGCCAGGCACGUGCCCUGGUGUCAUUCCAAGGGGACCCACUCCUGAGGCUGUGGGAGGUGGGGCGCGCGGGGAGUGAGCCGCGCUUUCACGGGCGGGGGACAAAAGGUGAGGGUUUUCUGCCCACUGGAUAUCGUGGGCCUGUUGGUGGAAGCCGCUGGGGACCCAGAGGGCGGCCCGAGGGAGGCAAGCUGCCUGGCAGGUGUUCCCGAUGCCACGGCCAAGGCAGAGUGGAAGCAGGCAGCCGGACGCCCAACGUGGCUCCUGGCCACCGUCAGAAGCACUGCCGCUGGGAAGGGUCCGCUUGGGCCCCCUCCUGGGUCCUGUACCAGCCGCAGACCACGGCAGGGCAGCGGCUCAACAGCGUCAGGUUUUCCGAGGCAUUCGAGAACUCCCCGGCCCCCCGGCCCCUGGUGUGCAACUGCCUUCUCCCGGUUGACUGUCAGAAGCUGGGGCCUGGCCCGGAAGACCCUCUGUGCUCCUCACUUGCCCCCCCAGGGGGCAGAGAGGAGCCCCAGGGCACUGAGGGGUAGGGAGCUCCCGCCUCCCAGCCCCACCCCUCCCCUGCUACCCGCCCUGCGGUACUGGGACCCUUGAGCUGGGCCUGCCGGGCUCCCGCUGCUGGGGACCCGCAGACUCUGCCCAGAGGCUGCUCCGCAGCAAUGGGAGGAGGGAGAAGGCCCUCGGCCUCCCUUUUCGUACUGGCGGAUUCCAGGCCCUGUCGGUGUCUCUGCCUCGCUUUGCCCUGGGCCACAUCUGAGUCCUCGGAGAGUCCCUUCCCAGCCCCACAGGGCCCCUCCUCCCACGUCUGAACCUGAGCUCCAGGGGACGUCCUCCAGGCGUCCCUUCUUGCAGGUUCUGUCCUUUGCCCGAGGUCGCCUGCAGCCUGCGGGGUGGCAGGUGCCUCUGGCUGCACCGAGGUCCCCGUCCUGAAAGGAGCGGACUCCCCCUCCCAACAGCCUGCUUGUCCACGUCGCACUCCGACCCCGAGCUGGGCAGCCUGUGAACCCAAGUCACCGCAGAACCAACCACGAGGGACCAUACCUUCUCCUCCGCCUGGAGGGCCCAGGCCCUGGCUGCAGCAGAGAAAAAGCCCGCCAGGCCUCCCCUAACCCUAACCCCUCCCCCUUCCCCACCCCGCCAGGCCUCCCCCUCCCCCAGCCUCCCUGGGGCAUCCCAGCACAGGCUGGAGCUCAGCCGGUGGGAGAAGUCAAGCCCAAGACAGGAGGUGAGCGGCCAGCAAGCUGUGCUGGGCUUCCUGUGGACGGAGACGCCUGCGAGGCCACGGGCCCAACACGGGGUCCAGGGUACCAGGGGCCCCAGACAGCCCGUGCUGUGGGGACCGGCGACAGAGAGCUUGGUCAGUGGAGUGGCUUCGCGGUGGCUCUGCCCAGGGUUGUUCUUGCCCACCUGCUGCACUUGUGCGGACCCUGCGGUCACCGCCCUCCCUCCUCUGCCCCCCGGGCCGUGCCUCGAAGGGGGCUCCAGGCACCUGGCUGCGCGGCCGGCCUGCACAGGACGCCCCUCUGGGCCGCCACUGAGGGGCGGUGCCCGGCGUCCCGGUGGCGGCUCCUCCCCUGGGAGUCUCCUUGGUGCUGCCUUGCAGGCCUAGUGGCUCAUCCCCUUGUCUGAUUUGGCUGUCCUCCCCGCUCGGCCCCCUCGCCUCCCCACACGGCCGAUCACCUGCGGCCCUGCUGGUGCCACGUCCCCGCCGUCCAGCUCCCCUCCACGGCCGCCACUACCAUCCGGGGACCGGCAGCCCCUGGACGGCCAGGGAGCCCCCCACAGCCAGCUCCCGCCCUUCGCCACCAGCCGAGAUCGGUGUCCAGCUGUCCAUGAGGACGACACCGCCGACAGGAGAGAGGCGGACAGGCUCUGGAUCGAUGCACCGUCUCCCUCUCCGCCAGAAACAGGAUUUGGACUCCCCUCCACCGUCGCCAAGGCUCCCCGGGCUCCGGUCCGGGCCACGCUUCGUGCCACGUGACCCCACAGUCCUCCGGAUCUGGCCGGCCCUCUGCCUCACCCGGUCUCAGCCCAGAUGUUACCUGCUCAGACCUUCCAGGCCCCUGUGCCCCCCCCCCCCACCCCGCCACACACGGCUGCUGCGUUUUCCUUCCCCCCAGUAGCCCCGUUCUCCCAGGAGGAAGGUGAAUGUGAGAUGUGAAGGGGCCUCGCUGUGUCCACGCCGGGCCUCGUCCGCUGUCCUCCCUGGACUGGGGGCGGAGGGGCAGCCGCCUCCCCAGCCCCUCUCCGCCUCCCCCAGCUCUUCUCCGUCUUACGUGCUUCCUGCAAAUGUACCUUAACAGGGGCCUCUUCCCUGCUCACCUCCGGGUGCCCUGAGACCAGACCCAGAGACCACGCUUCGUCCACCUUCUGUCUUCCCUUCCCCGGCACUCGUUCAUCACGCGGCAAACGUCGCCGGAUGACCGCGUGCGCCAGGCACACGGCGCCUUGGGGAGGGGAGGCCGGACACGGCCCUGCCCUCGGGCCGCUCACUCCCUGGCUUCCUGCGCAGCCCCUUUGUCUGCCUGGACCCUCCUCAGCGACUCGCUCCUUCCAGGCGCCCGCACCGCAGGCCCAGCCAGCUUCCAGCACCUUCCAGCGCCAAGACCUGCUACGCAAUUUGCGUGGCCCAGUGCAAGAUGAAAACGCCAGGCCCUGUGUUCAAACAUACUGAGGCUUCGAAGGCACCGACAGCAAAGCGCCCUUUGUGAUUCCAGUUACACAGGAGCUCUCCUGCCUGCCCACGCUGGAUGUCUGUCCUCUCUCUUGGGGCCAUGGACAUAAGACCCGAGGGAGCCCUGGGACACCUGCCGAGUGACCCCAAGAGGAGCCUGAGAAUGGAAUGUUCCUAAGAGGGAACGUUGGGGGAAAGGCGGCUUUGGGAGCAGCUGACCUCACAGGAUUUUUAGGCAGAUGGAGUGACCACGUGUGACCUGGGGGACAAUGGACUCGAUAUCAAGGGGGUCAGACCUAGAGGGUGGGGGAUUCUGGGCAAACACUUAGCAGGACUCUUGAGGACAAUGAAGAGAUGAGCACGGAAGCCCAGAAGGCGGGGCCUGGCCGAGCAGAGGGUCAGAGCCUGGCCAACGCUGGGUCAGGAGAGACUGUCAUGAUGGGAGGCAGCUACUGUCACGGGGCUCUGGUCCCCACCACAGCACACCUGCCACCAGGCCUCCUCCGGGAUGCCUCCUUGAGGAAGGCUCUCACUCCCAGAGAAAACGGACCUGUGCCAGAGUGAGAGUCGAGGCCUGGUGAAGGGGGCUCCACUCCGAGGAGGUCCCCCAGGGCGUUUCUACAUCAGACACCUGGUAAAGAAUCUUCCAGCCUUACCACCUCGGGGCUGAGAGGGUGGGUCCCUGCAUUGGGGUGACAGGAGCAAGGCAGGCGUCACAGGGAUCCCUGCUCACCGAUGCCCUCGCUAAGGCUGUCCGCUGCCUUGGUACCUGCCUGCUGGUUUAGAACUGAUCCCCUGGUCCUUCUAGGUAAGUCUGAAGGAGGGGGGUCUCUAAGGGGCGCUGUCCAGGGAAGGCUGCGCUCCUUCAAGGACGGACUCCCUCGUGGGAGUCCCAGCUGCUGAGUCGCCCAGAUCCCAGGGCAGCUGUCGCCUGCCAGCUGCACUGCCCACCCUCUCCCCCUGCCGCGGCCCUGGAGGUCCCUCCCCGGGGGUCUGGUGCCACCUCCCUACGUCCAGCACAGAGGCUAAGCCCUCUGCUGACCUCUGGACGUGGGCCUCACAGGGUGCCAGGCGUUCUGUCGUAGGGUUCCUCGGAGACCGCUCUGAUUUUCCAUCCCUCUCCGCGUGGGGGGCCCUCGUGCCGUCCCCUCCACCCGCGUCCACCGUGCGCCCUCCCAGCCCCGUGGGUUCAGGUCCCACGGCCUCCGCCCAUGCGCCCACAUCCUCAUGGCCCCGAGCACCUGCUCUGGAACUGCUCUGUUCCUGCACUGCCUGACGUUUCCUGGGCUCCCCUCUCUUAGCACCCCUACCUUGCUUACCAUCAUCCACGGGACUGCCUGAGGUCUGGUGAGCCCUAUUCAAGGUCUGGCACGACCUAGCCCCCUGGUGUCUUCAGUCUCACGCGGGCAAGUAUUGUCACAGAUUUGUGUGCUUGGUGUAGGGGGUUUCCACUGGGCUCUGCUAGGGGGCCUGAGGCUGGGGGCUACUCCGAGCGGGUCUCCUGGGUCUCCGGCCGGGGCGAUCCUAUGCCCUGUGCAACGUCCCCCAUGUCUCACGCCAGCCUCCAGGAACGCCUGGCCCAGUCCCGUGGUCGUCGUAGCUGUCUCCGGACUUGCCCCACGACCUGGGGCGGGGGUGGGGGUUGGGGGGGGGGAAGUCACAGAAGCUCCCUGGUGGGGAACUGCCACUCUACAUCUAAGCAGUGGCUUUUGAGAUGUUCUCGGUGGCUGGAAGAGGGCCAUUGGAGUCAAGGGAAAGGCUUUUUUU
RNA transcript from Acinonyx jubatus (cheetah), 7106 nucleotides. RefSeq lists it as uncharacterized. NCBI's taxonomy places the organism in Eukaryota, Metazoa, Chordata, Mammalia, Carnivora, Felidae. The record is from RefSeq and is a predicted model, not a curated record. The transcript has 4 exons.